Molecule: ribosomal RNA, 447 nt
Filed under: uncultured bacterium
Lineage: Bacteria
Description: bacterial SSU rRNA
Rfam family: Bacterial small subunit ribosomal RNA
Source: RNAcentral
ACUCCUACGGGAGGCAGCAGUAGGGAAUAUUGGACAAUGGGCGAAAGCCUGAUCCAGCAAUGCCGCGUGAGUGAUGAAGGCCUUAGGGUUGUAAAGCUCUUUUACCCGGGAUGAUAAUGACAGUACCGGGAGAAUAAGCUCCGGCUAACUCCGUGCCAGCAGCCGCGGUAAUACGGAGGGAGCUAGCGUUGUUCGGAAUUACUGGGCGUAAAGCGCACGUAGGCGGCUAUUCAAGUCAGAGGUGAAAGCCCGGGGCUCAACCCCGGAACUGCAUUUGAAACUGGCAGGCUAGAGUCUUGUAGAGGGGGGUAGAAUUUCAGGUGUAGCGGUGAAAUGCGUAGAGAUCUGAAGGAAUACCAGUGGCGAAGGCGGCCCCCUGGACAAAGACUGACGCUCAGAUGCGAAAGCGUGGGAGCAAACAGGAUUAGAUACCCUGGUAGACUGUCA